UGCAUCUCUUGAGAGCGGCGGACGGGUGAGUAAUGCCUAGGAAUCUGCCUGGUAGUGGGGGAUAACGCUCGGAAACGGACGCUAAUACCGCAUACGUCCUACGGGAGAAAGCAGGGGACCUUCGGGCCUUGCGCUAUCAGAUGAGCCUAGGUCGGAUUAGCUAGUUGGUGAGGUAAUGGCUCACCAAGGCGACGAUCCGUAACUGGUCUGAGAGGAUGAUCAGUCACACUGGAACUGAGACACGGUCCAGACUCCUACGGGAGGCAGCAGUGGGGAAUAUUGGACAAUGGGCGAAAGCCUGAUCCAGCCAUGCCGCGUGUGUGAAGAAGGUCUUCGGAUUGUAAAGCACUUUAAGUUGGGAGGAAGGGCCAUUACCUAAUACGUGAUGGUUUUGACGUUACCGACAGAAUAAGCACCGGCUAACUCUGUGCCAGCAGCCGCGGUAAUACAGAGGGUGCAAGCGUUAAUCGGAAUUACUGGGCGUAAAGCGCGCGUAGGUGGUUCGUUAAGUUGGAUGUGAAAGCCCCGGGCUCAACCUGGGAACUGCAUUCAAAACUGUCGAGCUAGAGUAUGGUAGAGGGUGGUGGAAUUUCCUGUGUAGCGGUGAAAUGCGUAGAUAUA
RNAcentral lists this ribosomal RNA (621 nucleotides) under Pseudomonas sp. Trebol. Its description in RNAcentral is "bacterial SSU rRNA". It matches the Rfam family "Bacterial small subunit ribosomal RNA", at positions 81 to 698 of the family's 1533-position model. Lineage: Bacteria; Pseudomonadati; Pseudomonadota; Gammaproteobacteria; Pseudomonadales; Pseudomonadaceae. The record is from RNAcentral.